GACGAACGCUGGCGGCGUGCUUAACACAUGCAAGUCGAACGGAAAGGCCCUGCUUUUGUGGGGUGCUCGAGUGGCGAACGGGUGAGUAACACGUUAGUAACCUCCCCUUGACUUUGGGAUAACUUCAGGAAACUGGGGCUAAUACCGGAUAGGAGCUCCUGCUGCAUGGUGGGGGUUGGAAAUUUUCGGCGGUUGGGGAUGGACUCGCGGCUUAUCAGCUUGUUGGUGGGGUAGUGGCUUACCAAGGCUUUGACGGGUAGCCGGCCUGAGAGGGUGACCGGCCACAUUGGGACUGAGAUACGGCCCAGACUCCUACGGGAGGCAGCAGUGGGGAAUAUUGCACAAUGGGCGGAAGCCUGAUGCAGCAACGCCGCGUGCGGGAUGACGGCCUUCGGGUUGUAAACCGCUUUCGCCUGUGACGAAGCGUGAGUGACGGUAAUGGGUAAAGAAGCACCGGCUAACUACGUG
RNAcentral lists this ribosomal RNA (468 nucleotides) under uncultured bacterium. RNAcentral describes it as "partial 16S ribosomal RNA". It matches the Rfam family "Bacterial small subunit ribosomal RNA", at positions 28 to 507 of the family's 1533-position model. The record is from RNAcentral.